Long non-coding RNA from Trachymyrmex septentrionalis, 412 nucleotides. RefSeq lists it as uncharacterized. The record is from RefSeq and is a predicted model, not a curated record. The transcript is spliced from 3 exons. NCBI's taxonomy places the organism in Eukaryota, Metazoa, Arthropoda, Insecta, Hymenoptera, Formicidae.
UCUUUUUAACCAGUGACACGUUUGACAAUUUCGUUAAAUUAUAUUAUCGUUUAUUCAACUCUAAUACAUGUUUAUGAUUAACUUCGCCGAUAAUUUUAUUAUAACUAAUUUUAUUAUAACAAAGUAUUUUGUUAUUAUAAUAAUUGACCAAUAUAUUCGUCGGUUACAUCAUUGUGGGUCAUUCACUACCACCAUCCAGCUUUCAAACUGAAGAUUUUAUUCUGUAAUGGAGGAAUGUUACUCCACACAAUGAUAUCAGUUGUUACUUCAUUAUACAAUGAUUUUUAUACGACGCAUGGAUAACGUAUCGUACCAUAUACUGAAAUUUUGCUGAGAAAGGCUAAAAGAUUAGUCGAAACAUACACAAGACACUCCAAUCAGAGAAAUAUUACAAUCACGUGACACUUUAUGC